GGGAAUGUAGCUCAGUGGUAGAGUGCUCGCCUAGCAUGCAUGAAGCCCUGGGUUCGAUUCCUCAGCACCA
RNAcentral lists this transfer RNA (70 nucleotides) under Dipodomys ordii (Ord's kangaroo rat). It matches the Rfam family "tRNA". Rfam says of the family: Transfer RNA (tRNA) molecules are approximately 80 nucleotides in length. Lineage: Eukaryota; Metazoa; Chordata; Mammalia; Rodentia; Heteromyidae. The record is from Rfam by way of RNAcentral.